This 634-nucleotide long non-coding RNA is filed under the name Prunus persica (peach). RNAcentral's name for it is "long non-coding RNA (PPER_LNC005420)". Lineage: Eukaryota; Viridiplantae; Streptophyta; Magnoliopsida; Rosales; Rosaceae. The record is from RNAcentral.
UCUGCCUUUUGCUUUAUAUAUAUAGAUAUAAAAACUGCAAAUUAAAUCGUCCCCCAAAUAAAAAGAAAAGAGACCAAAAUUUAAAUCAUACAAAUAACAUUAAACUUUAAUUCAAUCUAAAAUAAACAAAAAAUACUAAAAUUUUACAAAAUCCCAAAUUAAACAAAACCAGAAAGUCAACUCCCCCUCCCAACCCCUUAUCCCUGCCACCCUUACCCAUCUCCCACGCCACCCUAACCGCCAUUCUUCUCUCAAAACACUUGUUUCUUCCGAUGUCCCAGUCAGUACAAGGAUUGCGGGGAUGGGAUUUGGCAUGCUGAAACCUAACUCUUCUCCCUUCCCCUUUACCACAAGCAGCCCCCACCAAAUACGGUUAAACCACAGUGACUCCCAAAGCUAUCUUCUUCUAGUUAAGGGAGGAAAUCCACCAGCCAGUUGCUGGCUUUGACUUUAGGGAGAAGAAGGACCCACUAUAAAUGAAUGGGAAGGAAGAUUGGAGCAACCUCAUCUGAGCCCUUUUGCCAAAGAAGUCGUAGGCCCUUCCCCCUGUGGUGGUGGAAAUGGCGUGAUUUUGUAAUUUUAUUUAUUUAAUUUUGUAACAAUAAAAUAAUUGUUAAUUUAAAAACAAUUUUUU